Molecule: transfer RNA, 71 nt
Filed under: Lachnoclostridium edouardi
Lineage: Bacteria; Bacillati; Bacillota; Clostridia; Lachnospirales; Lachnospiraceae
Rfam family: tRNA
About the family: Transfer RNA (tRNA) molecules are approximately 80 nucleotides in length.
Source: RNAcentral
GGGGUAUAGCUCAGCUGGGAGAGCGCUUGAAUGGCAUUCAAGAGGUCAUGGGUUCAAAUCCCACUAUCUCC